GCAUUCAAAACUGGUUAGCUAGAGUACAGUAGAGGUGAGUGGAAUUUCCGGUGUAGCGGUGAAAUGUGUAGAGAUCGGAAGGAACACCAGUGGCGAAGGCGACUCACUGGACUGAUACUGACGCUGAGGCGCGAAGGCGUGGGGAGCAAACAGGAUUAGAGACCCUGGUAGUCCACGCGGUAAACGAUGAGAACUAGCUGUUGGGGUGGGAAGACACUCGAGUAGCGAAGCAAACGUGUUAAGUUCUCCGCUUGGGGAGUACGGUCGCAAGUAUUAAAACUCAAAGGAAUUGUCGGGGCCCCGCACAAGCGGUGGAGCAUGUUGUUUUAAUUCGAUGAAACGCGAAGACCUUUUCAUACUCUUGACAUCCCUGGAAGGCUCUGUAAUUGGAGUUGUGCCUUCGGGAACCGGGUCACAGGUUGCACAUGGCUGUUCUCAACUUGUGUCGUGAGAUUUUGGGUUAAGUCCCGUAAAGAGCACACCCCUUCUCUUUAGUUCCCAUCAUUAAGUUGGGGACUCUAAGGAGACUGCCGGUGAUAAACCGGAGGAAGGUGGGGACGACGUCAAGUCAUCAUGGCCUUUAUGAGUAGGGCUACACACGUGCUACAAUGGUCGGUACAAAGGGAAGCGAAGCCGCGAGGUGAAGCCAAUCUCACAAACCCGAUCGCAGUCCGGAUUGCAGUCUGCAACUCG
This 693-nucleotide ribosomal RNA is filed under the name uncultured bacterium. Its description in RNAcentral is "bacterial SSU rRNA". It matches the Rfam family "Bacterial small subunit ribosomal RNA", at positions 623 to 1314 of the family's 1533-position model. The record is from RNAcentral.